CGGGGGGCAGCAGUGGGGAAUAUUGGGCAAUGGAGGAAACUCUGACCCAGCGACGCCGCGUGCGGGAUGAAGGCCUUCGGGUUGUAAACCGCUUUCAGCAGGGAAUAAGCGCAAGUGAAGGUACCUGCAGAAGAAGCACCGGCUAACUAUGUGCCAGCAGCCGCGGUAAUACAUAGGGUGCAAGCGUUGUCCGGAAUUAUUGGGCGUAAAGAGCUCGUAGGUGGUUUGUUACGUCGGUUGUGAAAUUCAGGGGCUCAACCCCUGACUUGCAGCCGAUACGGGCAAGCUAGAGUUUGGUAGGGGAGACUGGAAUUCCUGGUGUAGCGGUGGAAUGCGCAGAUAUCAGGAGGAACACCGAUGGCGAAGGCAGGUCUCUGGGCCAAUACUGACACUGAGGAGCGAAAGCGUGGGGAGCGAACAGGAUUAGAUACCCGAGU
This 437-nucleotide ribosomal RNA is filed under the name uncultured Actinomycetales bacterium. Its description in RNAcentral is "bacterial SSU rRNA". It matches the Rfam family "Bacterial small subunit ribosomal RNA", at positions 342 to 791 of the family's 1533-position model. Lineage: Bacteria; Bacillati; Actinomycetota; Actinomycetes; Actinomycetales. The record is from RNAcentral.